AUAGGUACUGUAUGUGGAUCGGUAGGUACUGUAUGUGGAUCGGUAGGUACUGUAUGUGGAUCGGUAGGUACUGUAUGUGGAUCGGUAGGUACUGUAUGUGGAUCGGUAGGUACUGUAUGUGGAUCGGUAGGUACUGUAUGUGGAUCGGUAGGUACUGUAUGUGGAUCGGUAGGUACUGUAUGUGGAUCGGUAGGUACUGUAUGUGGAUCGGUAGGUACUGUAUGUGGAUCGGUAGGUACUGUAUGUGGAUCGGUAGGUACUGUAUGUGGAUCGGUAGG
Long non-coding RNA from Oncorhynchus keta (chum salmon), 278 nucleotides. RefSeq lists it as uncharacterized. The transcript is spliced from 3 exons. Lineage: Eukaryota; Metazoa; Chordata; Actinopteri; Salmoniformes; Salmonidae. The record is from RefSeq and is a predicted model, not a curated record.